This 297-nucleotide ribosomal RNA is filed under the name Triticum aestivum (bread wheat). RNAcentral describes it as "partial small subunit ribosomal RNA". It matches the Rfam family "Eukaryotic large subunit ribosomal RNA", at positions 1890 to 2184 of the family's 3401-position model. The record is from RNAcentral. Lineage: Eukaryota; Viridiplantae; Streptophyta; Magnoliopsida; Poales; Poaceae.
AUGGAAAAAUGUAGGCAAGGGAAGUCGGCAAAACGGAUCCGUAACUUCGGGAAAAGGAUUGGCUCUGAGGACUGGGCUCGGGGGUCCCGGCCCCGAACCCGUCGGCUGUCGGCGGAUUGCUCGAGCUGCUCACGCGGCGAGGGCGGGUCGCCGCGUGCCGGCCGGGGGACGGACCGGGAAUCGCCCCUUCGGGGGCUUUCCCCGAGCAUGAAACAGUCGACUCAGAACUGGUACGGACAAGGGGAAUCCGACUGUUUAAUUAAAACAAAGCAUUGCGGUUGUCCUCGCGGAUGCUGA